AUGGGGAGAUGGGGAGAGGGAGUGGACAGCCAAGGGUGGCAGGUGACCCGACAAGCCCGAGGGGUGGCCCUGGUGCAGCGGGGCAGGCGGGCCGGAUGCUGGACUUCAGGGCCACUGCCCUGCUCCACGGCCCCCCGCCCCGUGGGCCUGGCUCUGGCAGGUGGCUGUGGGUGGGGUCUGGAGGGCGUCCCUGGGCUGGGACUUCAGGGCCGCUCGGCAUGUUUUUGCUCUAAGUGGUUCUCCAGACCUGCCUGGGCCUGCUGUGUGGGGACACGGCUGGGGAGUGCCACUCAGGGAGGUGGAUACCAGGAAGAGAAGAGAAGGGCGUGCCCCCGACAUGGCAGCCCCACGGGGCCUUGCCCCCCGCCAAGCGCCCCCCUCUUGCCCACAGCUGAAGUCCUCAGCUGGGGAGGGCUCGGGCAGCUGUGGGCCGUGGAGGAGGAAAGCCCGCCUCCCCAGUCUGGUCUGGGCCCCACAGAUGGGGCACUCACGGCAGGGAGUGGAGAGACACCCGCAGGCCGGAGACCUGAGCCCGGGAGCGAGGUGCCCCGUGCGCCCACCAAGUCCAGCCCUGCGGGGUGGCCCAGGCCUGGGGCUGGGAGUCCACCUAGGGUCAGGGCCCAGGCUCCCUGUUCCUCCCUGGAAGCCUGGCGGGGCGGCGGGGGCCCGGCCUCGCGUGGGCCCUGCUCUCCCAGCCCCGAGCAGGCGAGGACACCAGCCCGGCCGUUACACAACAUAGUUUAUUUCAGACUCGGCCUGCGCUCAGGCCCGGGGUCUCAGCGGCCGGCUGGCCAGGCUCCCCCCGUGCCCGCGCCCGCUGCCACCGCACCGAGGGCUGCACGGCGCAGUGUCCCUGCAGGCCCAGCGGGCUGGUGCCCAUGGGUGCCGGGCCCCCUCCAAGCAGCUCUACUCUACGGGUUAUUGCAUGUAUACGCUAGUGAGACUCAAAGGGUGCAGUGGGGCGGGGGGCUGGGCUGGGCAGCCCUCCGCUGCCCCCCGGGGCACAAGCUGGGCCCGGCUGGGGCACAGGCGAUGGGCGGGGGGGCACAGAAGCUCGGCCGCUGCGUGGCCUUGGCUCAGUCGCCUGGCGCCGGGCGUACACACGUGGACCCCCGGCCCGGCCCAGCUACAAACAAAGAGCAGAAAUGGGGAGAGUGA
RNAcentral lists this long non-coding RNA (1158 nucleotides) under Canis lupus familiaris (dog). RNAcentral's name for it is "lncRNA (ENSCAFG00845018461.1)". The record is from RNAcentral. Lineage: Eukaryota; Metazoa; Chordata; Mammalia; Carnivora; Canidae.